Molecule: long non-coding RNA, 645 nt
Organism: Panicum hallii
Lineage: Eukaryota; Viridiplantae; Streptophyta; Magnoliopsida; Poales; Poaceae
Exons: 2
Source: RefSeq, a predicted model, not a curated record
UAGUUUGUGCUAUGAAGGAAUGUGCAUCUCUUUUGUUGACAGCUCCUGUUCAUCCUGAAAUUUUAAAUAUUUUUCUCAGUUUGGACUAUCAUAGUACCAAAAAAGUGGCAGCAACCCCCUCAAAAAAAAAGUGGCAGCAAAGAUGUAUGGGGGGAACAUUUCAUUUUUGUUUUAGGUUUAAGUGAAGUAGACAUCAUGAUUUUCUUUCACAAAAGAAACUUGAUGUCACGGUCAUGUCUGGUCAUUUAUCAUACUGGAAUUUUCUACAUGAUUUUAGCAGAAUACUUCAAUAUGAGCAACUGUGGUUGGCGAGGACAAAAAUAAGCAGUGCAGCUGGGAAAUCCUCUAUUCAGAGUAGUUCUUUUACUGUAUGUUACAUUCGAUGGCAUUAUACUGUACAGAGACCAUAGAUUGCAUGGCUUUAGUCUUCAGAAUUAGAGGAUGAUUUUCUUUUGUUUCGAGGAUUUUUGAGUUGUGGUAAUGUUGUAAAGUCUUCGCAUAACCACAUAUGAACAAACACUCUCUCUUUCAGUGGUAUGAUUCAAGAGUUAGUCCUGUAAAAUAAUUCUGAAUUGGAAUUUCAUAUUUAAUGUUCUGUAUUCUUGCUGGCUCUGAAUGAUCUGACAACACCCCAGUUUUUUUUAA